GAUGAAGAACGUAGUGAAAUGCGAUAAGUAAUGUGAAUUGCAGAAUUCAGUGAAUCAUCGAGUCUUUGAACGCACAUUGCGCCCCCUGGUAUUCCGGGGGGCAUGCCUGUCCGAGCGUCAUUGCUGCCCUCAAGCACGGCUUGUGUGUUGGGCCGCCGUCCCCGGUUUCCCCCGGGGACGGGCCCGAAAGGCAGCGGCGGCACCGCGUCCGAUCCUCGAGCGUAUGGGGCUUUGUCACCCGCUCUGUAGGCCCGGCCGGCGCCAGCCGACACCCAACUUUAUUUCUAAGGUUGACCUCGGAUCAGGUAGGGAUACCCGCUGAACUUAAGCAUAUCAAUAAGCGGAGGA
RNAcentral lists this unclassified non-coding RNA (348 nucleotides) under soil metagenome. RNAcentral describes it as "partial contains 5.8S ribosomal RNA, internal transcribed spacer 2, and large subunit ribosomal RNA". The stretch from base 1 to 120 matches the Rfam family "5.8S ribosomal RNA", at positions 35 to 154 of the family's 154-position model. The record is from RNAcentral.